Molecule: transfer RNA, 87 nt
Filed under: Candidatus Riesia sp.
Lineage: Bacteria; Pseudomonadati; Pseudomonadota; Gammaproteobacteria; Enterobacterales; Enterobacteriaceae
Description: tRNA-Ser
Rfam family: tRNA
About the family: Transfer RNA (tRNA) molecules are approximately 80 nucleotides in length. Their secondary structure includes four short double-helical elements and three loops (D, anti-codon, and T loops).
Source: RNAcentral
GGAUGUAUGCCGGAGUGGUUAAACGGACUCGCUUGGAAAGCGUGAGGCUUACGGGCCACGUAGGUUCAAAUCCUACUGCAUCCGCCA